GCUCUAGUCAUCUCAGUUGGUAGAGCAUGAGACUCUUAAUCUCAGGGUUGUGGGUUCUAGCCCCACGUUGGACA
This 74-nucleotide transfer RNA is filed under the name Podarcis lilfordi (Lilford's wall lizard). RNAcentral's name for it is "tRNA.Lys". It matches the Rfam family "tRNA". From Rfam's summary of the family: Transfer RNA (tRNA) molecules are approximately 80 nucleotides in length. Lineage: Eukaryota; Metazoa; Chordata; Lepidosauria; Squamata; Lacertidae. The record is from RNAcentral.